Molecule: ribosomal RNA, 300 nt
Filed under: uncultured bacterium
Lineage: Bacteria
Description: bacterial SSU rRNA
Rfam family: Bacterial small subunit ribosomal RNA
Source: RNAcentral
AGUCCCGCAACGAGCGCAACCCUUGUCCUUAGUUGCCAGCCUUAAGUUGGGCACUCUAAGGAGACUGCCGGUGACAAACCGGAGGAAGUGGGGACGACGUCAAGUCAUCAUGGCCCUUACGUGUAGGGCUACACACGUGCUACAAUGGCAUUUACAGAGGGAAGCGAGACAGUGAUGUGGAGCGGACCCCUUAAAGAAUGUCGUAGUCCGGAUUGGAGUCUGCAACUCGACUCCAUGAAGUCGGAAUCGCUAGUAAUCGCGCAUCAGCUAUGGCGCGGUGAAUACGUUCCCGGGCCUUGU